This 253-nucleotide ribosomal RNA is filed under the name uncultured bacterium. RNAcentral's name for it is "partial 16S ribosomal RNA". It matches the Rfam family "Bacterial small subunit ribosomal RNA", at positions 524 to 776 of the family's 1533-position model. The record is from RNAcentral.
UACAGAGGUCUCAAGCGUUGUUCGGAUUCAUUGGGCGUAAAGGGUGCGUAGGUGGCGCCGUAAGUCGGGUGUGAAAUUUCGGAGCUUAACUCCGAAACUGCAUUCGAUACUGCGGUGCUUGAGGACUGGAGAGGAGACUGGAAUUCAUGGUGUAGCAGUGAAAUGCGUAGAGAUCAUGAGGAAGACCAGUGGCGAAGGCGGGUCUCUGGACAGUUCCUGACACUGAGGCACGAAGGCCCAGGGAGCAAACGGG